GGUCCCAGUCCCAGGCCAGGAUCAGUAGAUUAGUAGAUACUGUUUUAUGGUCUGUUAUUGUUGAUGUAUAUCUAUAUACACGCACAUAUAUGGUCGAAAUACAGCAUAUCAAAAUUCAUUCAACCAUAUUCAAGCAAGAAAAUCAGCUAUAAUGAUAAUUUAGACGAGAAUAAAUAUGUUUGUUACAGCAUUUCUCAGUAAUUAUUUUCUGUGAAUCUAAAAAUAUUUACAUUUUGUGUGUUUAUGGUGUGCGGGUCGCAGCCAAUGAGGAUUCAGAGCCGGGACUACGUUUCAUAACUGCGGCUGAGAAUGAGUAGAUGUUUAUAAGUCUCAGACUCACCAGCGGGACAGGAGGGAACAAGUGGGCUUCAAAAAGGCGACGAUUCCUGCAGAAAAUCCCAAGUAUGUGCUCACUGACUGCGGCUCAAUGGAGACCCGUCCGUUAUAAACGGUGGCCGGUUUCAACGCCCACAAACACAGAGACUCUGUGUUUUACACCAAUGACAAACCGCAGGAGAGUCACGCCCGCCCACUAUACCACGGAGGAGGAGAAGGACACGAGUGGACACAGGACAAUGAGAAACAUGGUGUGGAGUGAAGGUGGCCUUGUUCGUGCUCUCUGGAUGCUUUUCCACCUGCUCAAUCUUCUUGAUGCCCUGUGGUGGUCGGAUGAGGGUGGGAGGAGGCUGGAAGGGAUGGGGCUUGUAGUUUUGGAACUCUGUGGGAAUUAAUUUCUGGAAUCAGAAAAACAAAGCAAGUGAGGAAAACCCAACAGAACAGCAACUCCUCUGAGACAAGUUGCUUUUACUAGACUAUAUGCAGAACUGUGUACUUCCCAUCAUACAUUUGUUGUUACUUAGUAAAUAAAUAUAAUUUUAAUUCACUUCAAAUACCAAAAGUAAAAUAAAAUAAAAUAGUGGUUACUGUGGACAGUCCCCAAAGAGACCCCAAAGAGAGCUGGGAUAGGCUCCAGCAGAUCCCUGUGACCCUAAAGAAAAAUAAGCGGGUAUAGACAAUGGAUGGAUAAUGGUUACUGGUGCAGUAAUGUGUACAUUAUAAAUUGUUUAGAACUUGGGUAAAUGGUUAUAAAGGGUUUAAUUAGCAAAUGUAUUUAUUAAAUAUUUCUUCAAUUAGUUUAAUGUAUAAUUAAUGUUUUUAUAAAGAAAGUGGGGGGAAAAAAUUAAUUUCAAGCUUUUAUUCCCAAAGGAAAUAACGCAGUAGGAAGUGACGUAUGCCCGCGACAGCUUCUUCCUGUCUCUUUUCGUUGAGGCUUAGCUAGCGGCCGG
This 1286-nucleotide long non-coding RNA is filed under the name Mastacembelus armatus (zig-zag eel). RNAcentral describes it as "lncRNA (ENSMAMG00000027901.1)". Lineage: Eukaryota; Metazoa; Chordata; Actinopteri; Synbranchiformes; Mastacembelidae. The record is from RNAcentral.